CAAUAGCGUAUAUUAAAGUUGUUGCAGUUAAAAAGCUCGUAGUUGGAUUUCUGGGAGGGGUGGCGAUGUCCGCUUAACGUGUGUGCAGCGGCGCCUCCAUCCUUCUGUUAGCGUCUCUUGGCAUUCAUUUGCUGGUGGCGGGCUCAGAUAUUUUACCUUGAGAAAAUUAGAGUGUUUCAGGCAGGCUAGGCCGGAAUACAUUAGCAUGGAAUAAUGGAAUAGGACUACGGUCUCUUUGUUGGUUUGAGGGACUGCAGUAAUGAUUAAUAGGGAUAGUUGGGGGCAUUAGUAUUUUAAUUGUCAGAGGUGGAAUUCUCGGGAUUUGUUAAAGACUAACUUUAUGCGAAAGC
This 350-nucleotide ribosomal RNA is filed under the name uncultured eukaryote. RNAcentral's name for it is "SSU rRNA". It matches the Rfam family "Eukaryotic small subunit ribosomal RNA", at positions 592 to 952 of the family's 1831-position model. The record is from RNAcentral.